This 484-nucleotide ribosomal RNA is filed under the name uncultured bacterium. RNAcentral describes it as "partial 16S ribosomal RNA". It matches the Rfam family "Bacterial small subunit ribosomal RNA", at positions 30 to 507 of the family's 1533-position model. The record is from RNAcentral.
AUUGAACGCUGGCGGAAUGCUUUACACAUGCAAGUCGAGCGGCAGCACGGGGGCAACCCUGGUGGCGAGCGGCGAACGGGUGAGUAAUACAUCGGAACAUGCCCAGUCGUGGGGGAUAACACUUCGAAAGAAGUGCUAAUACCGCAUACGUCCUGAGGGGGAAAGCGGGGGAGCGCAAGACCUCGCGCGAUUGGAGUGGUCGAUGUCAGAUUAGCUAGUUGGUGGGGUAAAGGCCUACCAAGGCAACGAUCUGUAGCUGGUCUGAGAGGAUGAUCAGCCACACUGGGACUGAGACACGGCCCAGACUCCUACGGGAGGCAGCAGUGGGGAAUUUUGGACAAUGGGGGCAACCCUGAUCCAGCCAUCCCGCGUGAGUGAAGAAGGCCUUCGGGUUGUAAAGCUCUUUCGGCAGGAACGAAACGGUGAGCUCUAACAUAGCUUGCUAAUGACGGUACCUGAAGAAGAAGCACCGGCUAACUACGUG